This 246-nucleotide ribosomal RNA is filed under the name uncultured bacterium. Its description in RNAcentral is "partial 16S ribosomal RNA". It matches the Rfam family "Bacterial small subunit ribosomal RNA", at positions 15 to 257 of the family's 1533-position model. The record is from RNAcentral.
GAUCAGGCUCAGGACGAACGCUGGCGGCGCGCCUAACACAUGCAAGUCGAACGAGAGAGAAGGAGCUUGCUUCUUCGAUCGGGUGGCGAACGGGUGAGUAACGCGUGAGGAACCUGCCUCAAAGAGGGGGACAACAGUUGGAAACGACUGCUAAUACCGCAUAAGCCCACGGGUCGGCAUCGACCUGAGGGAAAAGGAGCAAUCCGCUUUGAGAUGGCCUCGCGUCCGAUUAGCUAGUUGGUGAGG